RNAcentral lists this unclassified non-coding RNA (328 nucleotides) under Thauera chlorobenzoica. Its description in RNAcentral is "Long range pseudoknot". Lineage: Bacteria; Pseudomonadati; Pseudomonadota; Betaproteobacteria; Rhodocyclales; Zoogloeaceae. The record is from RNAcentral.
ACCGACGAGAACGAUUACCAGAUCAAGUUGCGCAAUCUCAAGCGCUUCCUGGAUGAAGGCGACAAGUGCAAGGUGACCUUGCGCUUCCGCGGCCGGGAAAUGGCGCACCAGGAGUUCGGCUUGCGCCAGCUCGAGCGCAUCAAGGCCGACCUGGAUGAACUGGGCCAGGUCGAGCAGAUGCCGAAGAUGGAAGGGCGCCAGAUGAUCAUGAUCAUCGCGCCGAAAAAGAACCGCUGACCGGUUCAAUGAUUUUGUCCCUGCGGGGGCAAGGCCGUGGGGCAGGAGUCCUGCCCGGCGGAAAACAAGUGCUGUCGGGUGUCAAAACGCA